GGUUUCGGGUGCCGUGAGGCCUCGGUCCGCUCGGCUUUCGGCCCUGGCGCACCUUCCCCGGCGCCAGGUCCGACGGGCGGGCGGGGACCUGACGACACCCGAAUUUCUUG
Non-coding RNA from Saccharothrix sp. NRRL B-16348, 110 nucleotides. The record is from Rfam. NCBI's taxonomy places the organism in Bacteria, Bacillati, Actinomycetota, Actinomycetes, Pseudonocardiales, Pseudonocardiaceae.